UACCAGCUCCUCGAGUGGUCGGGACGAUUAUUGGGCCUAAAGCACCCGUAGCCGGUUUCGUAAGUCCUCUGUUAAAUCCAGUCGCUCAACGACUGGCCUGCAGAGGAUACUGCGGGACUAGGAGGCGGGAGAGGCGGACGGUACUCCGCGUGUAGGGGUAAAAUCCUUUGAUCCGCGGAAGACCACCAGUGGCGAAGGCGGUCCGCCAGAACGCGCUCGACGGUGAGGGGUGAAAGCUGGGGGAGCGAACCGG
Molecule: ribosomal RNA, 253 nt
Filed under: uncultured organism
Description: partial 16S ribosomal RNA
Rfam family: Archaeal small subunit ribosomal RNA
Source: RNAcentral